Molecule: long non-coding RNA, 1214 nt
Organism: Corticium candelabrum
Lineage: Eukaryota; Metazoa; Porifera; Homoscleromorpha; Homosclerophorida; Plakinidae
Exons: 8
Source: RefSeq, a predicted model, not a curated record
CAUAAAACACUGCCCUUGGGAUUCUAUUAUCCUUCAUUUGAACAAGAUGGCCACACCAUCGAAGUUGAGUGUGUGGUAGUAGACCCUCAAUUCCAGGCAUGUUGCAUUUCUUCAUAACCUCGGUAUUGGGUAUCAUGUCUUGCCAUAAUAUAUUUCCAAUUUUGCGAAGACAUCGCAUGUGAAAUUGGUUGAGCUGUUUAAUGUGCCUUCAAGUCUCACAACCAUAAAGUAAAGUGGUGAUCACAAUCUUGUGUUUGUAGUCAAUAAAUGUUUUCGUUUUGAUAUGAUUGUUUUCUGUUUAGUGGAGCCCCUUGAGGUAUCGCUGCUGCUUUUUUUAUGUCCCAAUUGGAGAUGUAUGCUAACUGCUGCGUAUUACAUUUUGUUUUUUUCUGGAGACACACAGAUCCAAGUUUAAUACUAACCUUUUCACUGAGUUUCAACUUGAUUUGACAUGUAGGAUCAUUUACUAUGCACAGGACAUUUUUUGGUUUGCUAUUCUUGGAAUGCUUGGUGGUUUGAUUGGCGGCGUCUUCAACUUCCUUGUGUGUGCUGUCACAAAACUCUAAUGGGGAUUAAGUAUAUUUAUCCACUUGGUUGGAGACGAAUUUUAGAGAAAUCGACUUUCUCGAGAAACAAUUGACUCCAGGAAAGCUUUGCGUGAUGCAGUUAUUAUACAAGACGGCAGAAAUUCUAGAAGAGUAACCUGGAUAACUUCCAUUAUUGCACCUGCCAGAAGACGAAUUACAUGUGUGGUUUAGGCAUAAGUCACCUAUGUUUCGAUUAAUUAACAUUUCUGGAUCUCGAUAAGUUCAUCUUUUGAGAUUCUCCAGAGUUACACAGAAAGUGCCUUUUCUUCAGGGAGCUGCCGUGACCAAUUUUCUGAAGAAAUGAGUGCAACUAAGUUUGUAUAGCUGCAUUGCAUUUUGACUCGUAGUGCUUUUAGCUAUUGUACUUUGUACAUUUGAUAGAUUAUUUGCAGGAUCUUUUGGGAGACCAGCCAUGCUGAAAGUGAUUUCUGAAUAGAUUUGCAUACAUGAUGAUGGUGGGUGUAUCUAUUUAUAUCUAUAAUGCUCACUUGAGCGAUCUGCCAUUCAUUGUGUCCCUGGCUGUUAGAUUGGGAGUCUUCUCAGAUAGGGCUCCAUAUAUGAGGGCUAGCUGUUACAGUAAUUCUGGUUUCAAAACUUGAUAAAUACCAAAGGGCGGUGUUUCUUUAC